UUUAUGGAGAGUUUGAUCCUGGCUCAGGAUGAACGCUGGCGGCGUGCCUAAUACAUGCAAGUCGAGCGAACAGACAAGGAGCUUGCUCCUUUGACGUUAGCGGCGGACGGGUGAGUAACACGUGGGUAACCUACCUAUAAGACUGGGAUAACUUCGGGAAACCGGAGCUAAUACCGGAUAAUAUUUCGAACCGCAUGGUUCGAUAGUGAAAGAUGGUUUUGCUAUCACUUAUAGAUGGACCCGCGGCGUAUUAGCUAGUUGGUAAGGUAACGGCUUACCAAGGCGACGAUACGUAGCCGACCUGAGAGGGUGAUCGGCCACACUGGAACUGAGACACGGUCCAGACUCCUACGGGAGGCAGCAGUAGGGAAUCUUCCGCAAUGGGCGAAAGCCUGACGGAGCAACGCCGCGUGAGUGAUGAAGGUCUUCGGAUCGUAAAACUCUGUUAUUAGGGAAGAACAUACGUGUAAGUAACUGUGCACGUCUUGACGGUACCUAAUCAGAAAGCCACGGCUAACUACGUGCCAGCAGCCGCGGUAAUACGUAGGUGGCAAGCGUUAUCCGGAAUUAUUGGGCGUAAAGCGCGCGUAGGCGGUUUUUUAAGUCUGAUGUGAAAGCCCACGGCUCAACCGUGGAGGGUCAUUGGAAACUGGAAAACUUGAGUGCAGAAGAGGAAAGUGGAAUUCCAUGUGUAGCGGUGAAAUGCGCAGAGAUAUGGAGGAACACCAGUGGCGAAGGCGACUUUCUGGUCUGUAACUGACGCUGAUGUGCGAAAGCGUGGGGAUCAAACAGGAUUAGAUACCCUGGUAGUCCACGCCGUAAACGAUGAGUGCUAAGUGUUAGGGGGUUUCCGCCCCUUAGUGCUGCAGCUAACGCAUUAAGCACUCCGCCUGGGGAGUACGACCGCAAGGUUGAAACUCAAAGGAAUUGACGGGGACCCGCACAAGCGGUGGAGCAUGUGGUUUAAUUCGAAGCAACGCGAAGAACCUUACCAAAUCUUGACAUCCUUUGACAACUCUAGAGAUAGAGCCUUCCCCUUCGGGGGACAAAGUGACAGGUGGUGCAUGGUUGUCGUCAGCUCGUGUCGUGAGAUGUUGGGUUAAGUCCCGCAACGAGCGCAACCCUUAAGCUUAGUUGCCAUCAUUAAGUUGGGCACUCUAAGUUGACUGCCGGUGACAAACCGGAGGAAGGUGGGGAUGACGUCAAAUCAUCAUGCCCCUUAUGAUUUGGGCUACACACGUGCUACAAUGGACAAUACAAAGGGCAGCGAAACCGCGAGGUCAAGCAAAUCCCAUAAAGUUGUUCUCAGUUCGGAUUGUAGUCUGCAACUCGACUACAUGAAGCUGGAAUCGCUAGUAAUCGUAGAUCAGCAUGCUACGGUGAAUACGUUCCCGGGUCUUGUACACACCGCCCGUCACACCACGAGAGUUUGUAACACCCGAAGCCGGUGGAGUAACCAUUUGGAGCUAGCCGUCGAAGGUGGGACAAAUGAUUGGGGUGAAGUCGUAACAAGGUAGCCGUAUCGGAAGGUGCGGCUGGAUCACCUCCUUUCU
This 1553-nucleotide ribosomal RNA is filed under the name Staphylococcus haemolyticus. RNAcentral describes it as "bacterial SSU rRNA". It matches the Rfam family "Bacterial small subunit ribosomal RNA". The record is from RNAcentral. Lineage: Bacteria; Bacillati; Bacillota; Bacilli; Caryophanales; Staphylococcaceae.